GACGAACGCUGGCGGCGUGCCUAAUACAUGCAAGUUGAGCGCUGAAGGUUGGUACUUGUACCAACUGGAUGAGCAGCGAACGGGUGAGUAACGCGUGGGGAAUCUGCCUUUGAGCGGGGGACAACAUUUGGAAACGAAUGCUAAUACCGCAUAAAAACUUUAAACACAAGUUUUAAGUUUGAAAGAUGCAAUUGCAUCACUCAAAGAUGAUCCCGCGUUGUAUUAGCUAGUUGGUGAGGUAAAGGCUCACCAAGGCGAUGAUACAUAGCCGACCUGAGAGGGUGAUCGGCCACAUUGGGACUGAGACACGGCCCAAACUCCUACGGGAGGCAGCAGUAGGGAAUCUUCGGCAAUGGACGAAAGUCUGACCGAGCAACGCCGCGUGAGUGAAGAAGGGUUUCGGAUCGUAAAACUCUGUUGGUAGAGAAGAACGUUGGUGAGAGUGGAAAGCUCAUUAAGUGACGGUAACUACCCAGAAAGGGACGGCUAACUACGUG
Molecule: ribosomal RNA, 497 nt
Filed under: uncultured bacterium
Lineage: Bacteria
Description: partial 16S ribosomal RNA
Rfam family: Bacterial small subunit ribosomal RNA
Source: RNAcentral